CAGAAUUCAUCAACAGAUGACUGGCAUUCGGUUUUCCUCAUGAGAAAGGUGAGGGAUCAGCCCAGAACUACAUGGCAGGACCUGGUCAAUGAGAUGGGACAACAGUCUCAAAGAAAACCAUUAGUAACACACUACGCCGUCAUGGAUUAAAAUCCUGCAGCGCACGCAAGGUCCCCCUGCUCAAGCCAGCGCAUGUCCAGGCCCGUCUGAAGUUUGCCAAUGACCAUCUGGAUGAUCCAGAGGAGGAAUGGGAGAAGGUCAUGUGAUCUGAUGAGAGAAAAAUAGAGCUUUUUGGUCUAAA
This is a long non-coding RNA of Esox lucius (northern pike), 301 nucleotides long. Lineage: Eukaryota; Metazoa; Chordata; Actinopteri; Esociformes; Esocidae. The record is from Ensembl.